Molecule: long non-coding RNA, 1159 nt
Organism: Lagopus muta (rock ptarmigan)
Lineage: Eukaryota; Metazoa; Chordata; Aves; Galliformes; Phasianidae
Exons: 3
Source: RefSeq, a predicted model, not a curated record
CUGUAGGGUCAGGGAUGUUGUUAUAGGGUCAGAGGUGUGGUUAUAGGGUCAGGAUAUGGCCAUAGGGCCAGGGGAAUGGUUAUAGGGUCAGAGGUGUGGUUAUAGGGCCAGGGUAUGGCUGUAGGGUCAGGGGUGUGGUUAUAGGGCCAGGGUAUGGCUGUAGGGUCAGGGAUGUUGUUAUAGGGCCAGGGUAUGGCUAUAGGGUCAGGGGAGUAGCUAUAGGGUCAGGGGUAUGGUUAUAGGGCCAGGGGAGUUGUUAUAGGGUCAAGGUACGGCUAUAGGGUCAGGGAUGUUGUUAUAGGGCCAGGGUAUGGCUGUAGGGCCAGGGGAGUGGUUAUAGGGUCAGGGGAGUGGUUAUAGGGUCAGGGUAUGGCUGUAGGGUCAGGGAUGUUGUUAUAGGGCCAGGGUACGGCUGUAGGGUCAGGGUAUGGCCAUAGGGCCAGGGUUGUAGCUAUAGGGUCAGAGGUGUGGUUAUAGGGUCAGGUUAUGGCUAUAGGGCCAGGGGAGUAGUUAUGGGGUCAGAGGUGUGGUUAUAGGGCCAGGAGUGUGGUUAUAGGGUCAGGGUAUGGCUGUAGGGUCAGGGCUGUUGUUAUAGGGUCAGAGGUGUGGUUAUAGGGUCAGGGAUGUUGUUAUAGGGCCAGGGUACGGCUGUAGGGUCAGGGUAUGGCCAUAGGGCCAGGGUUGUAGCUAUAGGGUCAGAGAUGUGGUUAUAGGGCCAGGGGUGUAGUUAUAGGAUCAGAGGUGUGGUUAUAGGGUCAGGACAUGACCAUAGGGCCAGGGGGGUGGUUAUAGGGUCAGAGGUGUGGUUAUAGGGUCAGGGUAUGGCUGUAGGGUCAGGGAAUGGCCAUAGGGUCAGGAGUGUGGUUAUAGGGUCAGGAUAUGGCUAUAGGGCCAGGGUUGUAGCUAUAGGGUCAGAGGUGUGGUUAUAGGGUCAGGGUAUGGCCAUGGGGGCAGAGGAGUUGUUAUGGGGUCAGAGAUGUGGUUAUAGGGUCAGGGUAUGGCUGUAGGGUCAGGGGUGUAGUUAUAGGGUCAGAGGUGUGGUUAUAGGAUCAGGUUAUGGCUAUAGUGUGAUCUGGGGUAUGAUAUAAAGUUGCGAUAUGGGGCGCGAUAUCGGGGGUGUGCGAUAUGGGGCGUGAUAUCGCGACAUAUGAUAUCGCGA